AUUGAACGCUGGCGGCAGGCCUAACCCAUGCAAGUCGAACGAGUGGCGGACGGGUGAGUAAUGUCUGGGAAACUGCCUGAUGGAGGGGGAUAACUACUGGAAACGGUAGCUAAUACCGCAUACCAUCAGAUGUGCCCAGAUGGGAUUAGCUUGUUGGUGGGGUACCGGCUCACCAAGGCGGCGAUCCCUAGCUGGUCUGCGAGGAUGACCCGCCACACUGGAACUAAGACACGGUCCAGACUCCGACGGGAGGCAGCAGUGGGGAAUAUUGCACAAGGGGCGCAAGCCUGAUGCAGCCAUGCCGCGUGUAUGAAGAAGGACUUCGGGAUGUAAAGUACUUGCAGCGGGGAGGCGUUACCCGCAGAAGAAGCACCGGCUAACUAAGUGCCAGCAGCCGCGGUAAUAC
Molecule: ribosomal RNA, 406 nt
Filed under: uncultured bacterium
Lineage: Bacteria
Description: partial 16S ribosomal RNA
Rfam family: Bacterial small subunit ribosomal RNA
Source: RNAcentral